AGAGUUUGAUCCUGGCUCAGGAUGAACGCUAGCGACAGGCCUAACACAUGCAAGUCGAGGGGCAUCGGGGCGAGGAGCAAUCCUUGCCGCCGGCGACCGGCGCACGGGUGAGUAACGCGUAUGCGACCUGCCCGUUGCAGGGGGAUAAUCGGGAGAAAUCCCGUCUAAUACCGCGUAAUGCCGCGGGGCUGCAUGGCCCUGCGGCCAAAGGGAGCGAUUCCGGCAACGGAUGGGCAUGCGUGACAUUAGCUAGUUGGCGGGGCAACGGCCCACCAAGGCGACGAUGUCUAGGGGUUCUGAGAGGAAGGUCCCCCACAAUGGUACUGAGACACGGACCAGACUCCUACGGGAGGCAGCAGUGAGGAAUAUUGGUCAAUGGGCGCGAGCCUGAACCAGCCAAGUCGCGUGAGGGAUGACGGCCCUACGGGUUGUAAACCUCUUUUGUCGGGGAGCAAAUUCCGCCACGUGUGGCGGAGUCGAGAGUACCCGAAGAAAAAGCAUCGGCUAACUCCGUGCCAGCAGCCGCGGUAAUACGGAGGAUGCGAGCGUUAUCCGGAUUUAUUGGGUUUAAAGGGUGCGUAGGCGGACUGUCAAGUCAGCGGUAAAAUACGGGGGCUCAACCUCCGCCCGCCGUUGAAACUGACGGUCUUGAGUGGGCGAGAAGUAUGCGGAAUGCGUGGUGUAGCGGUGAAAUGCAUAGAUAUCACGCAGAACUCCGAUUGCGAAGGCAGCAUACCGGCGCCCAACUGACGCUGAAGCACGAAAGCGUGGGUAUCGAACAGGAUUAGAUACCCUGGUAGUCCACGCAGUAAACGAUGAAUACUAGCUGUCCGGGGCGAAUGAGCCCUGGGUGGCACAGCGAAAGCGUUAAGUAUUCCACCUGGGGAGUACGCCGGCAACGGUGAAACUCAAAGGAAUUGACGGGGGCCCGCACAAGCGGAGGAACAUGUGGUUUAAUUCGAUGAUACGCGAGGAACCUUACCCGGGCUCAAACGACACAGGAACGUACCUGAAAGGGUUCGGCUCUACGGAGCCUGUGUCGAGGUGCUGCAUGGUUGUCGUCAGCUCGUGCCGUGAGGUGUCGGCUUAAGUGCCAUAACGAGCGCAACCCCCAUCGACAGUUGCUAACAGGUCAGGCUGAGGACUCUGUCGAGACUGCCGGCGCAAGCUGCGAGGAAGGCGGGGAUGACGUCAAAUCAGCACGGCCCUUACGUCCGGGGCGACACACGUGUUACAAUGGCAGGUACAGCGGGAAGCCACCUGGCGACAGGGAGCGGAACCCGAAAGCCUGUCUCAGUUCGGAUUGGAGUCUGCAACCCGACUCCAUGAAGCUGGAUUCGCUAGUAAUCGCGCAUCAGCCACGGCGCGGUGAAUACGUUCCCGGGCCUUGCACACACCGCCCGUCAAG
Molecule: ribosomal RNA, 1408 nt
Filed under: uncultured bacterium
Lineage: Bacteria
Description: bacterial SSU rRNA
Rfam family: Bacterial small subunit ribosomal RNA
Source: RNAcentral